RNAcentral lists this ribosomal RNA (515 nucleotides) under uncultured bacterium. Its description in RNAcentral is "partial 16S ribosomal RNA". It matches the Rfam family "Bacterial small subunit ribosomal RNA", at positions 28 to 523 of the family's 1533-position model. The record is from RNAcentral.
GAUGAACGCUGGCGGCGUGCCUAAUACAUGCAAGUCGAGCGAAUGGAUUAAGAGCUUGCUCUUAUGAAGUUAGCGGCGGACGGGUGAGUAACACGUGGGUAACCUGCCCAUAAGACUGGGAUAACUCCGGGAAACCGGGGCUAAUACCGGAUAACAUUUUGAACCGCAUGGUUCGAAAUUGAACGGCGGCUUCGGCUGUCACUUAUGGAUGGACCCGGGUCGCAUUAGCUAGUUGGUGAGGUAACGGCUCACCAAGGCAACGAUGCGUAGCCGACCUGAGAGGGUGAUCGGCCACACUGGGACUGAGACACGGCCCAGACUCCUACGGGGGGCAGCAGUAGGGAAUCUUCCGCAAUGGACGAAAGUCUGACGGAGCAACGCCGCGUGAGUGAUGAAGGCUUUCGGGUCGUAAAACUCUGUUGUUAGGGAAGAACAAGUGCUAGUUGAAUAAGCUGGCACCUUGACGGUACCUAACCAGAAAGCCACGGCUAACUACGUGCCAGCCGCCGCAGUAA